UGCCAGCAGCCGCGGUAAUACGAAGGGUGUUAGCGUUGUUCGGAAUUACUGGGCGUAAAGCGCACGUAGGCGGAUUGGAAAGUUGGGGGUGAAAUCCCGGGGCUCAACCCCGGAACUGCCUCCAAAACUAUCAGUCUAGAGUUCGAGAGAGGUGAGUGGAACUCCGAGUGUAGAGGUGAAAUUCGUAGAUAUUCGGAAGAACACCAGUGGCGAAGGCGGCUUUCUGGACCGAUACUGACGCUGAGACGCGAAAGCGUGGGGAGCAAACAGGAUUAGAUA
Molecule: ribosomal RNA, 279 nt
Filed under: uncultured bacterium
Lineage: Bacteria
Description: partial 16S ribosomal RNA
Rfam family: Bacterial small subunit ribosomal RNA
Source: RNAcentral